This 374-nucleotide ribosomal RNA is filed under the name uncultured organism. Its description in RNAcentral is "partial 16S ribosomal RNA". It matches the Rfam family "Bacterial small subunit ribosomal RNA", at positions 527 to 896 of the family's 1533-position model. The record is from RNAcentral.
GUAGGUGGCAAGCGUUGUCCGGAAUUAUUGGGCGUAAAGCGCGCGCAGGCGGUUCUUUAAGUCUGAUGUGAAAGCCCACGGGCUCAACCGUGGAGGGUCAUUGGAAACUGGAGAACUUGAGUACGGAAGAGGAAAGCGGAAUUCCACGUGUAGCGGUGAAAUGCGUAGAGAUGUGGAGGAACACCAGUGGCGAAGGCGGCUUUCUGGUCUGUAACUGACGCUGAGGCGCGAAAGCGUGGGGAGCAAACAGGAUUAGAUACCCUGGUAGUCCACGCCGUAAACGAUGAGUGCUAAGUGUUAGGGGGGUUUCCGCCCCUUAGUGCUGCAGCUAACGCAUUAAGCACUCCGCCUGGGGAGUACGGCCGCAAAGGCUG